AAAUUAAAUAGGCAAACUUAGAGAAAUUUAAGGACGCAAAGCUAUAGGGACUAAGGUGUAUAACUAUGUCAGCCAGUUGCCAAA
Clostridium sp. 7_2_43FAA is the source of this 84-nucleotide regulatory RNA element. It matches the Rfam family "c-di-GMP-I riboswitch aptamer". Rfam says of the family: GEMM was predicted in a large-scale screen for bacterial structured RNA regulatory elements. Lineage: Bacteria; Bacillati; Bacillota; Clostridia; Eubacteriales; Clostridiaceae. The record is from Rfam.